Long non-coding RNA from Oncorhynchus tshawytscha (Chinook salmon), 394 nucleotides. Lineage: Eukaryota; Metazoa; Chordata; Actinopteri; Salmoniformes; Salmonidae. The record is from Ensembl.
UGGAGGUGGAGGUAGAGGUGGAGGUGGAGAUGGAGGUGGAGGUGGAGAUGGACGUGGAGAUGGAGAUGGACGUGGAGAUGGAGGUGGAGAUGGAGGUGGAGAUAGAGGUGGGAAUAGAGGUGGGAAUAGAGGUGGAGAUGGAGAUGAGGGGGAGAUAGAGGUGGAGAUGGAGGUGGAGAUAGAGGUGGAGAUGGAGUUGGAGAUAGAGAGGUGGGAAUAGAGGUGGGAAUAGAGGUGGAGAUGGAGGUGGAGAUGGAGGUGGAGAUGGAGGUGUGAGAAAGAGUGAACAUCAAAGUGUGAGUGGAUGUAGCCCUGCGAAGCUCAGAGUUUCAGCCCCUGUGACCCCUAAUGAGGGAUAUCAGCUCUCGCCACUGGCCCAUACUAAUGAGCUAAU